RNAcentral lists this ribosomal RNA (301 nucleotides) under uncultured bacterium. RNAcentral's name for it is "partial 16S ribosomal RNA". It matches the Rfam family "Bacterial small subunit ribosomal RNA", at positions 509 to 807 of the family's 1533-position model. The record is from RNAcentral.
CAGUAGCCGCGGGAAAACGAAGGGGGCUAGCGUUGUUCGGAUUUACUGGGCGUAAAGGGCGCGUAGGCGGACUGAUAAGUCAGGGGUGAAAUCCCAAGGCUCAACCUUGGAACUGCCUUUGAUACUGUUUGUCUUGAGUUCGAGAGAGGUAAGUGGAACUGCGAGUGUAGAGGUGAAAUUCGUAGGUAUUCGCAAGAACACCAGUGGCGAAGGCGGCUUACUGGCUCGAAACUGACGCUGAGGCGCGAAAGCGUGGGGAGCAGACGGGAUUAGAUACCCCAGUAGUCCCUGUCUCUUAUAC